GGUGUGGUGCGGGGCUUGUUCCGUGGAGCUCAGGGAUGUGCCCCUGCUCAGGCGAACCUGCGGUCUUCCGCGACUCUGACCGCUUCUCCUGGCAUGACCCGCACCUGUGGCGCUCUGGGGACGAGGCACCUGGCCUCUUCUUCGUGGACGCCGAGCGCGUGCCCUGCCGCCACGACGACGUCUUCUUUCCGCCUAGUGCCUCCUUCCGCGUGGGGCUCGGCCCUGGCGCUAGCCCCGUGCGUGUCCGCAGCAUCUCGGCUCUGGGCCGGACGUUCACGCGCGACGAGGACCUGGCUGCUUUCCUGGCGUCCCGCGCGGGCCGCCUACGCUUCCACGGGCCGGGCGCGCUGAGCGUGGGCCCCGAGGACUGCGCGGACCCGUCGGGCUGCGUCUGCGGCAACGCGGAGGCGCAGCCGUGGAUCUGCGCGGCCCUGCUCCAGCCCCUGGGCGGCCGC
RNAcentral lists this small RNA (455 nucleotides) under Pongo abelii (Sumatran orangutan). RNAcentral's name for it is "retained intron". The record is from RNAcentral. Lineage: Eukaryota; Metazoa; Chordata; Mammalia; Primates; Hominidae.